This is a long non-coding RNA of Papaver somniferum (opium poppy), 539 nucleotides long. RefSeq lists it as uncharacterized. Lineage: Eukaryota; Viridiplantae; Streptophyta; Magnoliopsida; Ranunculales; Papaveraceae. The record is from RefSeq and is a predicted model, not a curated record. The transcript has 4 exons.
UUUUCUUAAAACAGGGAACAACCACAAUAGCUAAGCUCUUCCCAGGCUGAUGGCUGAUGUGUAGAGGCAUUUAGGAAGAGGCUUGGGAACCUCCACAAGACCCGGUCUAAAACACCAUCCUCUCUCUCUCGAUAACCAGAUCGAAAAGAGGAGUAAUAAUGGAAAAGAUGAACCUUGCGAGGAAUAUAUAUAAGACGUUCUACGGCUUUAGAUACAGAACAAUCAACCAGCGUGUCAAAAACACCGCGGGGAAAUUCGGUGCCCUUAAUGACGAAAUAUCCAAAUACACGGCAGCUCCUUACCUCCGACACACACUAAACUCAAGCAAGGAGGCUCAACAUGUCGUUCAAGUCACCGAGCAGUAUGAAAAGUCCAUUUACCAAACUGGCUCGUGAUUAUUCACAUUUCAAGGAACAUGAAGAACCAACUCUCACGACAUGCAAUAUGUUCAGAAAUUAUGUUUUACCAUCUCUAGCGACCAGUGUGGGUGUUGUCCUACUUGGGGCGUUUGCAUAUGAAGGACACUUGAAGGAAAACUA